GGGAGAUGGUCAGCCUCUAAUGGCUCGUAAGAUAGUGCAGACGCUGGUGAUCACUCGAUGACCUCGGCUCUACAUUGCUACUACGGCGAUUCUUGGAGAGCCAGCUGCGUUCGCUAAUGUGAGGACAGUGUAGUAUUAGCAAACGAUAAGUCUACAACUGGUUGUGGCCUAUCGAAAAGUGAACUUCAUAACACAUGCUGUCCCACGCACAUGGAUGAUUUGGACAGAUUUGAUUCGAGUCUGAUCAACCUUCACACAGAUCUAGAAUCGAAAGCAGUGAUCUCCUUGAAAAAAAAAAAAAAAAAAAA
RNAcentral lists this unclassified non-coding RNA (308 nucleotides) under synthetic construct. The record is from RNAcentral.